ACGAACGCUGGCGGCGUGCCUAAUACAUGCAAGUCGAACGGUCUUUCUAUGGAAGCUUGCUUCCACUGAGAAGAUAGUGGCGAAACGGGUGAGUAACACGUGGGGUAACCUGCCCAUAAGAGGGGGGAUAACAUCCGGAAACGGGUGCUAAUACCGCAUAGUUUUCUUGAUCGCAUGAUUGAGAAAGGAAAGACGGCCUUUGUGCUGUCGCUUAUGGAUGGACCCGCGGCGUAUUAGUUAGUUGGUGAGGUAACGGCUCACCAAGACGAUGAUACGUAGCCGACCUGAGAGGGUGAUCGGCCACAUUGGGACUGAGACACGGCCCAAACUCCUACGGGAGGCAGCAGUAGGGAAUCUUCCGCAAUGGACGAAAGUCUGACGGAGCAACGCCGCGUGAGUGAAGUAAAGGUUUUCGGAUCGUAAAACUCUGUUGUCAGAGAAGAACAAGUUGGAGAGUAACUGCUCCAGCCUUGACGGUAUCUGACCAGAAAGCCACGGCUAACUACGUGCCAGCCGCAGC
Molecule: ribosomal RNA, 520 nt
Filed under: uncultured bacterium
Lineage: Bacteria
Description: bacterial SSU rRNA
Rfam family: Bacterial small subunit ribosomal RNA
Source: RNAcentral